This 438-nucleotide long non-coding RNA is filed under the name Ursus maritimus (polar bear). RNAcentral's name for it is "lncRNA (ENSUMAG00000019330.1)". The record is from RNAcentral. Lineage: Eukaryota; Metazoa; Chordata; Mammalia; Carnivora; Ursidae.
AGGGACUGGCACGCCGGACCGGUUAUUUGGGGAAGUGAAUCGCGACACCUUUGCAGAUGGCAUGGCCCUGUUUUUCAACGCAAACGGGAGGAGGGAAGACGGCCGGAUGGAGGGGGAGACCAGAGGAAGGGGCCCAAUUUGUUUCUGUGGCAUGCCAACCUCACACCUUUCCUUCCUGUUUGGCAUCAAGAGAGGGAAGUCGCUUUUUCAUGUCUGUAUGGCCACAUUCACUUGUUAUGUAAGUCGGCUGUGGUUGAUGUUCUGUUUAGAGUGGCUAUUGGGUUUGAAAAUUGGUAUCUGGUUAUAACAUCCUCAUAAAGAAAAAUUCCAUGCACAACGUGAGGAAGCUUGUAAUCCCACCAGGCAACUGGUAAUGCUGGCUGAAAUGUUGCCUAGCUUCAAAUAGGAGCAAGUCAGACACUUAGGGAAUGAAUACUU